UCCCAGCAGCCAGGAAGGUUGAGGUGGCGGGGCAGAGCUCUGAAACAGAUUUUUGCCCCCUGGUAGAUGACACAGGCAGAAACAGGUACCCAAAGAGGGAUCAGGCAGUUGCCAUUUAGAAACCUGGAGAGCCUCGCAGCCAGACAUAGAAGUGGGGGCCUUAGUGUCUGCUUCCAUCGCCCCAAAAGGAUCCUGCUGUCAUUCCCAUUUCAUUUUGGCUUAUAUGGUGUCAACAGAGGG
RNAcentral lists this long non-coding RNA (240 nucleotides) under Mus musculus (house mouse). Its description in RNAcentral is "lincRNA-EC32". Lineage: Eukaryota; Metazoa; Chordata; Mammalia; Rodentia; Muridae. The record is from RNAcentral.